AGGUUAAGUUAACAAGGGCGCAUGGUGAAUGCCUUGGCACUAGGAGCCGAUGAAGGACGGGACUAACACCGAUAUGCUUCGGGGAGCUGUACGUAAGCUAUGAUCCGGAGAUUUCCGAAUGGGGCAACCCAGCAGUUUUAAUCAACUGUUACCACUAGAUGAAUUCAUAGUCUAGUUGGAGGUAAACGCUGUGAACUGAAACAUCUCAUUAGCAGCAGGAAUAUAAAGAAAUUUCGAUUCCCUAAGUAGCGGCGAGCGAACGGGGAACAGCCCAAACCAAAGUGCUUGCACUUUGGGGUUGUAGGACUGAACAUUUGAGUUACCAAAGAACUUGAUAGUCGAAGGAUUUGGGAAAAUCCGCCAUAGAUGGUGAUAGCCCAGUAGAUUAAAUCAAAUUCUCUCAGUUCAGGAUCCUGAGUACGGCGGAACACGUGAAAUUCCGUCGGAAUCCGGGAGGACCAUCUCCCAAGGCUAAAUACUACCUAGUGACCGAUAGUGAACCAGUACCGUGAGGGAAAGGUGAAAAGCACCCCGGGAGGGGAGUGAAAUAGUUCCUGAAACCAUGUGCCUACAAUAAGUCAGAGCGCGUUAAUGCGUGAUGGCGUGCCUUUUGUAGAAUGAACCGGCGAGUUAUGAUCCCGUGCAAGGUUAAGACUAAAAAGUCGGAGCCGUAGCGAAAGCGAGUCUGAAAUGGGCGUUUUGAGUACGAGGUUAUAGACCCGAAACCAGGUGACCUAUCCAUGUCCAGGUUGAAGGUGCGGUAAAACGCACUGGAGGACCGAACCCGUGUAAGUUGAAAAUUGCUGGGAUGAGGUGUGGAUAGCGGUGAAAUUCCAAACGAACUUGGAGAUAGCUGGUUCUCUCCGAAAUAGCUUUAGGGCUAGCCUCGGAAUUAGGAUCAUGGAGGUAGAGCACUAUUUGGACUAGGGGCCCGUCUUGGGUUACUGAAUUCAGAUAAACUCCGAAUGCCAUUGAUUCAUAUCCGGGAGUCAGACGAUGAGUGAUAAGAUCCACCGUCGAAAGGGGAACAGCCCAGACCAUCAGUUAAGGUCCCUAAAUGUAUGCUAAGUGGAAAAGGAUGUGGAGUUGCAUAGACAACUAGGAUGUUGGCUCAGAAGCAGCCACCAUUUAAAGAGUGCGUAAUAGCUCACUAGUCGAGUGAUCCUGCGCCGAAAAUGUACCGGGGCUAAGCAUACUACCGAAACCAUGGAUGCGACCAUUAGGUCGCGUGAUAGGAGAGCGUUCUAAGGGCGGUGAAGCAAGAUCGUGAGGACUUGUGGAGCGCUUAGAAGUGAGAAUGCCGGUAUGAGUAGCGAAAGAUAGGUGAGAAUCCUAUCCACCGAAUGACUAAGGUUUCCUGGGGAAGGCUCGUCCUCCCAGGGUUAGUCGGGACCUAAGUCGAGGCCGAGAGGCGUAGACGAUGGAUAACAGGUUGAGAUUCCUGUACUAGUUAAGUGCGUUUGAGCAAUGGAGGGACGCAGGAGGCUAAGAUGUGCAUUCUGUUGGAUUAGAAUGUCCAAGCAGUAAGUCUUGUGAAGAGUCAAAUGCUUUUCACUUUAAGGACAAGCUGUGAUGGGGAGCGAAAUUUAGUAGCGAAGCGUCUGAUGUCACACUGCCGAGAAAAGCUUCUAGUGAGUACUUAACUACCCGUACCGCAAACCGACACAGGUAGUCGAGGAGAGAAUCCUAAGGUGAGCGAGUGAACUCUCGUUAAGGAACUCGGCAAAAUGACCCCGUAACUUCGGGAGAAGGGGUGCUGAUCGCAAGAUCAGCCGCAGUGAAUAGGCCCAGGCGACUGUUUAUCAAAAACAAAGGUCUCUGCAAAAUCGUAAGAUGACGUAUAGGGGCUGACGCCUGCCCGGUGCUGGAAGGUUAAAAGGAUGGGUUAGCUUCGGCGAAGCUCAGAAUUGAAGCCCCAGUAAACGGCGGCCGUAACUAUAACGGUCCUAAGGUAGCGAAAUUCCUUGUCGGGUAAGUUCCGACCCGCACGAAAGGCGUAACGAUCUGGGCACUGUCUCAACGAGAGACUCGGUGAAAUUAUAUUGUUCGUGAAGAUGCGGACUACCCGCGACAGGACGGAAAGACCCCAUGGAGCUUUACUGUAGCUUGAUAUUGAGUGUUUGUACAGCUUGUACAGGAUAGGUAGGAGCCAUAGAAACCGGAACGCUAGUUUCGGUGGAGGCGUUGGUGGGAUACUACCCUCGCUGUAUGACCACUCUAACCCGCACCACUAAUCGUGGUGGGAGACAGUGUCAGGUGGGCAGUUUGACUGGGGCGGUCGCCUCCUAAAAAGUAACGGAGGCGCCCAAAGGUUCCCUCAGAAUGGUUGGAAAUCAUUCGCAGAGUGUAAAGGCACAAGGGAGCUUGACUGCGAGACAGACAGGUCGAGCAGGGACGAAAGUCGGGCUUAGUGAUCCGGUGGUACCGUAUGGAAGGGCCAUCGCUCAACGGAUAAAAGCUACCCUGGGGAUAACAGGCUUAUCUCCCCCAAGAGUCCACAUCGACGGGGAGGUUUGGCACCUCGAUGUCGGCUCAUCGCAUCCUGGGGCUGUAGUCGGUCCCAAGGGUUGGGCUGUUCGCCCAUUAAAGCGGUACGCGAGCUGGGUUCAGAACGUCGUGAGACAGUUCGGUCCCUAUCCGUCGCGGGCGUAGGAAAUUUGAGAGGACCUGUCCUUAGUACGAGAGGACCGGGAUGGACAUACCUCUGGUGUACCAGUUGUGCCGCCAGGCGCAUCGCUGGGUAGCUACGUAUGGAUGUGAUAAACGCUGAAAGCAUCUAAGUGUGAAACACACCUCGAGAUGAGAUUUCCCAUUCCUUUAUGGAAGUAAGACCCCUGAAAGAUGAUCAGGUAGAUAGGUUAGAAGUGGCAGUGCGGUGACGCAUGAAGCGGACUAAUACUAAUCGGUCGAGGACUUAACCAAG
RNAcentral lists this ribosomal RNA (2923 nucleotides) under Lactiplantibacillus plantarum. RNAcentral's name for it is "bacterial LSU rRNA". It matches the Rfam family "Bacterial large subunit ribosomal RNA". Lineage: Bacteria; Bacillati; Bacillota; Bacilli; Lactobacillales; Lactobacillaceae. The record is from RNAcentral.